Budorcas taxicolor (takin) is the source of this 105-nucleotide small nuclear RNA. The record is from RefSeq and is a predicted model, not a curated record. NCBI's taxonomy places the organism in Eukaryota, Metazoa, Chordata, Mammalia, Artiodactyla, Bovidae.
AUACUGUAAGCAAGCACAUACACUAAACUUGGAGAGAUACAGAUAGGAUUAGCAUGGGCGCUGCACAGGAAUGACAGGCAAAUUCAUGAUGCGUUCUACACUUAU